GAGACCCACCUAGACCCGGCCCUGGUGGCCGCUGGACGCGGCGACUCAGUUAGGAAAAGGGCAGGCGGUCGGAGAGGAGAAGUCGAGGUGGCUGAAACGCGGCUGCCCCGCGGAGAUCGCGGGCCUCAAGGGACUGCCCUCCCAUCCUCCAUCCCCCGCAAGGACUAAGGCCAAGCCGCGGCUGCCGCAGCCGCCGCCCCCUCUCCCCUCGUCCCCGGUCCCGGAGGCUCUGGGGUGCUGCCGCCGCUGCAACUUUCUCCUGUGAUACCCCCUCUUUGUUAUGGAGCAGCUGAUCCGCUGACAUCACCCGGCGCCGGUGCGCUCCCUCCCUCGUUGAUUGACAGUUCCCGGUCCUUUCCCAGAAGUGAGGCUCCUUAGAACCCAAGGCGCUCCGGGGCUGCGCCGCCUCUUCCAGGCAGUGGGAAGGCCCGGCGGCGUUUACCUUUUGGCUUGGUUCACUAUUUGCCAGCCACGCGGUCCAGAUCGCCGCCGGCUGCUCGCUAGAGCCGGGGGCCUCGAGGGUACCCGCCUGGGGUGGGUGAGGGGCUCGGGGCGCCAGAUACCCCGCGAUGUGCCACCAGGGACUUGGAAGUGCGUCAUUCUGGGUGUUCCUACCACUAUCUCACUCCAGGACAGCUGGAGCGCACUCGGAACUAAGGAAGCCUUUAGUUCCUGAGCUUCGACUUCCUCUUGCCCUCGAGCCCCACUUCACUCGACUUGCUACUGCCCAGAGUUGCAAAGUGCGGCAGGCCCAGGAGCGCAGGUGCCCCGUCCCCCUCCACUGCCCAGCGCUGCCUCCACAAGCCAGUUCCCUCAACUCCAGGGGGCGUCCUUCACCCCGGAUUCCUCCCGACUGCAAGUCCUACCCAGGAGUCCCCAGUCUCCAUCUUCUUUCGCAUCUCCAGGCCCCUAGAGAGAUCCAAGAAUUCACUAAACCCAAAUGGCAGCAGGCUGGUAAUCAGGCCGCACCCGAGCUUUGGCGGGUUCCUUCUCCUUGUCUUGAAGAUGGAGCCACCAAGCGGAGAGCCGGAGCCAGGACCCCGUGUCUAGCGCGCCUCCUUCUCUCGCCUCCGGUCCUGUACUUGUGAUGUCCCUAGUUGUCUCUUUAGUUUCUCCAAGUGCCAACCACUUCACAGACUCAGGCAUCUUUGAGGGAAGAAAACUCCCUUCCCAGCCCAGCCAGCCACUUAAAGAGUGUCAUUAUGGCGCUACUUCUUACAGGUGGCAGCAAAGGAUCUCUUUAAAUAGCGGGUUAAAUGCAUGCGCAUGUACACAAUGUACCGUGGAAUUACUGGGUGACAGUCUGGCCUUCUGCCAAGAACAGUCAUCGUGGAGGGUGGGAGGGAUGGGGCAGGAACCAAAGAAAGUUGUUCUUUUUCGUUUUUCUGAACAAUAAAUGAGGCAGGAUUUCAAGUCACUUCCAAGGCCUGAGAGAGUCAGUACCCACCCACCCCCGUGCCCCCUCCCUUAUUUUCUUAAAUGCCUUUUUUUUUUUUUUUUUUUGUAGGCAGGAUCUCCUGUAGCCCGGGAGGGGUUUCUAACAUCUAACUCAUCUCGCCUCUAUCUUUACAGCCCCAUAAUUACAAACCUUGGCCAGCAUGCUGAAUGUAUAGUUCUGGAGAUCCAAUCCAGGCUCUUCCAUGUUAGGAAAGAAAGCUUUCUACCAAAUGAGCUGCAUCCCCCGCUGGCUAUUCUAUGUCAGUCAGAAAAAGAGAAAAAAAAAAAAAGUAAAAGAAACAGGACUGGUGGCAUUAACCCCACCCCACCCCACCCCCCGCACUAGGGAGGCAGAGGCAGGUAGAUCUCUGAGUUCAAGGCCAGCCUGUUUGGUCUAUAGAAUGAGUUUCUGGUCAGCCAGGGCUAUAUAGAGAAAUCCUGUCUCAAAGGGAAAAACCACUUAAGAGAAAAAUUAUAGAGACACUAACCCCAAAUACGAUCAGAAAUGUUAGCUCUGUUCUGAUGGCGUUCGAAAGAGGAAGGUUGUGGAUGUCCAGUUAGAAGGCUUAGCAUCCCUCACCUGCAAAGUGUACCAGGGUGGCCACUCUGGCUGUAUGGGUUCCUCCCAUUCAGGCCAUAUGGGGAGAGACUUCUCUGGUUGAGGCUGGAUUGCUCUGUGGACCUUUAGCCGAGGCUACACCACUGUGCACACUGGCUCAGGCUAUACUGUUCUGAAGUCUUCCAUCCCCUUCGAAGUCUGUCUUGGGACUGAUCUCCUUAAGAUCUUCCAGGACAGGUACCUGGGACCUUUGUUAGGCUCCUCACAAAUCUACUCCUGCAGGGAAAUAGGAAAGGAUACUUUCAGAUUAUAGCUUAAAAACCCUGGAGCUGGGGCUACAGUCAGUGGUAAGCCCUUGGAUGUGGGUGCUGGGAACCAAAUGUGGGUCUUCUGAGACAUCACUUUAAAACAUGAAUACAGAAAUAGGAUUUUACUGAGUGUGUGUGCAUGCACAUGCCUGUGAGUGUGUGCUAGACAGAGUCUCUCACUUGCCUGGAACUUGUGGAGUAGGGCAGGCCUCAGAUAACCACCUGUUUCUGUCUUCCCAGUGGUUGGGUUGCAAUUAUACACCUUCACACUUGUCUUUUGUUGCUGUUGUUGUUUUGUUUUGUUUUGAAGCCAUGGAUUCUGGAGUUGAAGAAUCUCCCCAGUCCUUAUUCAGAGGUUCUGAAAAGGCAUUUACUGUGCUUCAUCCCUUCCUGGCUUUGAGCUGUAUGAUAUCUCUUCUUAUUUUUAGAUCUUAUGUAUCACUACUUCCCUUACACAUGAUGCAGGUGCUCACAUGACGAAGAAUAUCAGAUGCUCAUCUCUUUCAGCUACUAGACAAUAAAAAUGCUGAAAAUCGAAGGAAGAAGAAAAAAUAAUUUUAUUUCUUUACUGAAAGAAGGUAAUGUCAGGGCAGGAAACGCCCCCUCAGGACACAGACCCAGGCUCACGGUGGGAGGGUGCAUGUGUGUGCUGAGGGAGGGGAAGGGCCUGCCACAAGAGUCUUACCUCUGUCUUUGGGUUCAGAGGAGAAUGUUCUCUUGGAGGAGGACUGUUAGUGCAGGUGCUAGGAGCAGCCUACUUGUGGCAAGAGCCUUUCCAUGUGCUGCUUUGAAAGUGUUUGGAACCAGUGUCCAUUCCCUGCCCCUACAGAAAUGGUUCUCGAAUGUGCCUAGAAGGGUCUGGUGCCGAGGCUUUGUACAAACCACUACUCCUAGCCCCUUGAUGAUGGAUUCAGGAGAGCUUCUACUGGCUGAGCACGCCCUCUGCCCCUCACUGGUCCAGUCAGGCAGGACUUCAUCACUGAGCCACUACUCCCAGGCUCCCAGCUCCUAGCUCAUGUCCCUGCAGUGUGUCCAGUAAACUAAAUUUAGACCCCCUGGGACAACAGAGAAAGAGCCACGUGGCCCGGAUCUCUGUCUUCGUGUGCCGUGGACCACAUGACAUGCUUGCCUCUCCGGA
RNAcentral lists this long non-coding RNA (3442 nucleotides) under Mus pahari (shrew mouse). RNAcentral's name for it is "lncRNA (MGP_PahariEiJ_G0012440.1)". Lineage: Eukaryota; Metazoa; Chordata; Mammalia; Rodentia; Muridae. The record is from RNAcentral.